RNAcentral lists this ribosomal RNA (466 nucleotides) under uncultured bacterium. RNAcentral describes it as "bacterial SSU rRNA". It matches the Rfam family "Bacterial small subunit ribosomal RNA", at positions 34 to 518 of the family's 1533-position model. The record is from RNAcentral.
CGCUGGCGGCGUGCCUAACACAUGCAAGUCGAGCGAGGAGAUCCUCGGGAUGAUCCUAGCGGCGGACGGGUGAGUAACACGUGGGCAACCUGCCUCAUAGAGAGGAAUAGCCUUCCGAAAGGGAGAUUAAUACCUCAUAACAUUGCAGUUUCGCAUGGAACAGCAAUUAAAGGAGCAAUCCACUAUGAGAUGGGCCCGCGGCGCAUUAGCUAGUUGGUGAGGUAACGGCUCACCAAGGCGACGAUGCGUAGCCGACCUGAGAGGGUGAUCGGCCACAUUGGGACUGAGACACGGCCCAGACUCCUACGGGAGGCAGCAGUGGGGAAUAUUGCACAAUGGGGGAAACCCUGAUGCAGCCAACGCCGCGUGAGUGAUGACGGCCUUCGGGUUGUAAAGCUCUGUCUUCAGGGACGAUAAUGACGGUACCUGAGGAGGAAGCCACGGCUAACUACGUGCCAGCAGCAGC